Enhydra lutris kenyoni (northern sea otter) is the source of this 1053-nucleotide long non-coding RNA. RefSeq lists it as uncharacterized. NCBI's taxonomy places the organism in Eukaryota, Metazoa, Chordata, Mammalia, Carnivora, Mustelidae. The record is from RefSeq and is a predicted model, not a curated record. The transcript is spliced from 2 exons.
CGUGUCCGAGGACACGUACUGCUUCUGCAGCGCCUUCACCGAUCCCACCAGCUUCUUCUUGAUCACCUGGUCAGCGGCAGACGUAACACCCCUUUAGGAGAUCCUGCAGUGGGACUGCUUCUCGCCACACACACACACACACACACACACACACACACACACACACACAAGCAACCACGCAGGCACACACAUCUAUGUGUGUGUCUAUACAGCAAAGCUCACACAAGCUAAUUAUACAAAACAAAGCCAGAGCACAGCGGUACUGAUGUUUUGGUUUUUUUUUUUUGCAAAGCUAUUUGUAUAUUUUUGUUUUUUAAACUGAACUUCAAAUGAAAACAACGACAAAAGAAACUGAACUUCAGUGAACUGACAUCCAUAUAAAUCUCGUGUUUAAAUACUGGUUCCAUCACAUUACAGCUAUGCGAGCUCGGGGAACCCACCCAGAGCAGCGGGGAAGCCAUCUACCUCACUCGCCUGACUACGAUUCUACCAAGAAGCAACAAGUGUUACUUUUGAACAAGAAAAAGGGAUCACAGUCUACACUGAGAAAGAUCCCAACUGGGCAGUCAGAGGCUCAGAGACGAAGGAAAAAUGAAAAGAAGACAAGGGCUCAGACGAGACUUACAUUAAACAAAGAAAUGGAUGACCUGGCUUCAUCGCUUUCGAAACACUCCAUUCACCAGUAAACAGCAACCUCCUCUUCUUGGAGACUUCCCCGCCAUCCGUGACAGCCUCGGUCUCUACAGCCUGAAUCCGAUCCUGUACCUGGCUAUGCAGAACAACAGGCUGGUGUUUAAGCCCUCCAGCUGCUGCCCCAGGUGAUGAGUCAGGGUUUUCAGUCGGAAACGAGUGACAGAGUUAUCUUCUGAUUCAGAAAGGCAGCUGAUCCUCCAGACAUGUGAGUGCUGAGUGAGUGAACAGCACCUCCCUCUACCUGAAGAAACUUGGGAGUUCUGGACAAGGGUCCUGUGAAGGGUGGGAUGGGUGUGUGUGUCUGGGGGUGAAGGCGACUAGGCCUUUGAAGCAAAUGAAUACCAGCUGGAGGGCAAGAAA